GUAGGUGGCAAGCGUUGUCCGGAAUUAUUGGGCGUAAAGCGCGCGCAGGCGGUCCUUUAAGUCUGAUGUGAAAGCCCGCGGCUCAACCGUGGAGGGUCAUUGGAAACUGGGGGACUUGAGUACAGAAGAGGAAAGCGGAAUUCCAAGUGUAGCGGUGAAAUGCGUAGAGAUUUGGAGGAACACCAGUGGCGAAGGCGGCUUUCUGGUCUGUAACUGACGCUGAGGCGCGAAAGCGUGGGGAGCAAACAGGAUUAGAUACCCUGGUAGUCCACGCCGUAAACGAUGAGUGCUAAGUGUUAGGGGGUUUCCCGCCCCCUUAGUGCUGCAGCUAACGCAUUAAGCACUCCGCCUGGGGAGUACGGCCGCAAGGCUG
This 373-nucleotide ribosomal RNA is filed under the name uncultured organism. RNAcentral describes it as "partial 16S ribosomal RNA". It matches the Rfam family "Bacterial small subunit ribosomal RNA", at positions 527 to 896 of the family's 1533-position model. The record is from RNAcentral.